This 3092-nucleotide unclassified non-coding RNA is filed under the name Hevea brasiliensis (rubber tree). Lineage: Eukaryota; Viridiplantae; Streptophyta; Magnoliopsida; Malpighiales; Euphorbiaceae. The record is from RNAcentral.
GUUUUAUUUAAAAAAACAACCGUCCGCCUGACAGCCUCCAUUUAAUGCAUUUGAACUACACACUCAGAGAGCUCACUCUUUGCUUUCUCUUCUCUUUCAGCUAAAAAUCUUCAUUUUUCUCUCAUAAAUCUCUGCAAAAUUCUUAAUUGCUUAUCUUUUCUUCUCUCUCCACUUCAGCGCAAACCCUAACCCCCAAAUAUUGGUUACAUUUGUUGGAGAGCAUCAGUGAAGGGAAGAGAGGAGGAAAGGAUCCUCAGGCCUUGCCUGGUCUCCCUCAUUGUUUACGUAUGGACAGAGUUCCUCACUCAUCUCAUUUUAUCCUCUCAUAGACAAAGCAAUAUCUUUUUCUCUAGCAAAUGGGGGUUGAGAAAGAGGGCUCAAAAAGCGGAGGAGGUUAUGUAGGUGGUUUCUUCCAGCUGUUUGACUGGACAGCAAAAUCUCGGAAGAAGUUGUUCUCAAGCAAAUCAGAUUUACCAGUGCCUUCAAAACAAGGAAAGAGGAGUGAUGGGAACUUGCCAAUGACUCGGCUUCAUCUGAUGGAUGAGGAUGAAACUGGAGCAGGGUCAAGUAUUAGAGGGAGCAGUGAUUAUAGUUGUGCUUCAUCAGUAACAGAUGAUGAUGGAUGUGGAGCUAGAGCCCCUGGAGUAGUAGCCAGGCUUAUGGGAUUAGAUUCUAUGCCAACAUCCAGUUUUUCUGAGCCCAACUCUACCCCAUUCUUGGAUACUCAAUCUCUUAGGGAGGCUUCUCAGCGGAGGAAACAUUUUGAAUAUUAUCAUGACCAUCAAAUCAUGUACUCUAGGAAUCUGCUCAAUAAGGAGGAUGGCCCUCUGCAGAACCUUCUAAACUCAAAGCCUCAGAAGGUGUUAAGUAGACCUAUUGAAAAGUUUCAAACUGAAAUUUUGCCUCCAAAAUCUGCUAAAUCAAUUCCAAUUACACAUCAUAAACUUUUAUCGCCUAUUAAGAGUCCUGGCUUCAUUCCAAGUAAAACUGCUGCUCACAUAAUGGAAGCAGCUGGAAGAAUUAUUGAACCUUGUCCACAAGCUACUGCUAAGGCCAAAAUUCCUAUGGUUGGAUCUCCUUCAGUUCCCUUGAAAGUUCGCGAUCUUAAAGAAAAACUGGUGGUUGCACAAAAAAUGCCACUGGUUGGGUCCUCAGCAGCAUCUCUGAAAGCUCGAAAUUUAAAAGAAAAAGUGGAAGCUCCUAAUAAAACACCCAGAUUUGCUGAACCUUCUACUAGAAGACCAGUUGAGUCAAAUGCUGCCAAGUAUCUUAAGGGACAGUCUUUGAACAAAAGCUGGAAUGGUUCAGUGGAUACAACAUCUUUCAGGGCUUUUCCCGAGAUAGAAGAAGGUUCUUCUGGUUUAAAAAAUAAGGGAAAGUCCAUCUCACUUGCAAUCCAAGCAAAGGUCAAUGUUCAGAAAAGAGAAAGUUUGAAUUCAAGUGGCAGUCGAGGCUUGGUAAGCGACAAAGACCAUAGUGAGGUUAUGUCUAGCCAGACCUUCAAAGGUCAACUGAAUAUGCAGAAGAGUUUGCUGAAAAAAUCUUACAUGCAUAAUGCUUCUGGAGUGCUCAGGCCGAACAAUCAGAAACAAAAUUGCCAUAUGGAAAAAGACAAGCCUUCAAAGUCAGCAGGUUCUCACUUGCAGGGAAGAAAGGCUGUGACUGGGAAUUCUUCUUCUUCUCUGCGGAACAAAACUUCCAUUAAAAAUGUUGGCUCCAAAACUGGAACCAGGAAGUUGGGCUCAGAUGUAAUAGAUAGUGAAAAGGGGCUUUCAAAUUAUAGUACAAAGAAUAUUCCUAGGAAGAAGCGAUCAAUUGAUGGGAACUUGCAUCUUGAGAAAAAUCACAUUGUUGAUAAUAUGUUAAUUGACAAGAAUCAGAAGGAAAUUGAAUCAAAUAGAGCCAUUGAUAGGCAUUUUAAUUGGGCAGAAGAAAGCAAGAAGAAAGGCAUGGAUGUUGUUUCAUUUACAUUUACAGCUCCUUUGAUGAGAUAUAUGCCAGGUUAUGAAACAUCUGGUCAAGUACAGAAAAGUGGCAGUGUUUGCAUGGAUGAUCAGGGCAAGAGGUUGUUGCUUGACACAGAUGGUACUAAAUUAUCUUCAGUGGGAUAUAAUCAAAUAGGAGGAGAUGCUUUGGGCACUCUUUUGGAAGAGAAGUUAAGAGAAUUAACUAACAGCGUGGAGUCUUCCGACCACAAUUCUGUCAAAAUAGGAUCCACUUUGAGUUCCCCAUCAUUUUUGAAAGAUCUGGCACCCACUCUUAAUGCAGGCAACACUACUCCAAGGUCAUUCGAUAACAAGGAUCAAAAUAUGCUGCUAGGAAGUAAAUCGGGUAGCAGCCGUGGCUCUAAUGUAUUCUCAACUGAUCCCACGGCACUCAGAUUGAAACACAGGUUUCAGGGUGUUGAUGAGAUGGAAGAGUGCAGCAGCAAAUCUAAUGAUUCCAGAAAGCUGCUUGAUUGUAGACGUCCUAGCCCAGUCUCUGUUCUUGAACCUUCCUUUUCAACUGAAAGUAGCAGCUCUUUAGACAGCACGGAUUGUAGCAGUGCUGAAGGAAGCAAGCAAUGUUCGUCUAUUCAAGCUCAGGAAAUUCUUGGUUUAAGUUCUUCAAAGAAGUUUCAUUCUGUUGAUGCUGAUAAAGAUUUAUCAGAUUCUGCUUCUUCAAAAUCUACUGGUACUGCAGCUGGAAAGCAUGCAAAUACAUUACCUGCAUCGGAACUAGUGAAUUCAGCCAAGUGGGAAAUAGAAUAUGUGCAGAAGAUACUCUUUAAUCUGGAAUUUAUGUUUCAGGAAUUUGCACUGGGUUGGGCUCGUGAGAUCGUAAGCCCACUUCUCUUCAACCGGCUGGAAAGUCAAAAGGGUGGACUGGUUAAUGGUGGUGUUGAGGCUAGGCUAGAGCGAAAGGUACUAUUUGACUGUGUGAAUGAAUGUUUGGACAUAAGAUGUAGGCAGUAUGUUGGUGGUGGAUAUAAAACAUGGACCAAAGGGGUGACAAUGGUGAGAAGAAAAGAGUGGCUAGCUGAAGAAGUGCUAAAGGAGAUCUCAGCAUGGAAAGGCAUGGGGGAUUGCAUGGUGGAUGAGCUUGUGGACAAG